RNAcentral lists this long non-coding RNA (1457 nucleotides) under Cairina moschata (Muscovy duck). Its description in RNAcentral is "domestica (muscovy Duck (domestic type)) lncRNA (ENSCMMG00000009577.1)". The record is from RNAcentral. Lineage: Eukaryota; Metazoa; Chordata; Aves; Anseriformes; Anatidae.
GCUCUCUGCAGUAAACACAAAUCUAGUCAGCAGCAUGUGACUAAUUUCCUUUAAUCAGUGAAUGCUGCUUGGGCUACAGCAUCCCGAUGGAAUUACAUUAGAGGUUCCCUCUGUAAGUACUGUCUUUCAAAAUUACUUUCUAACAGCACACCAAAUGGCAUAAGCAGGGAACAGAGUUGUGGCAGGCAGGCAGGCAUCAAUAGCAUCCUGCUCUUAAGCUGAGGUAAUGAUUACUAGUUGGAAUACGCUUGCAUUUCCCCCAAGAACAUGCAAUUCUGGUACAUGCAUGCAGGUAUGUGUGUAAUUACCCUCAUCACUGCAGCGAAACCAGUUGAACAGCGUGUUUAUAGAAACUGUCCUUAAGAGCGAUUGCCUCUUGAAGGAGCACAGCUCAUGUACGAGGAGUGGGACUGUCUCCAGCCAGCCCGGGGAGACGAUGCUGAGAGCAUAUUGAAAAGCUGUCUUCAGCAGAAGCUUGCCAGUUUAACAACUCCAUUCACUGUUCCUAUUGCACAGUGGGCUCUUUGACGCAACAGAAAGAGCUGCUUUUUUUUUUGCUUCCUCUUAAAUCCGCCUGGCCAAUUUAAAGCUUGUGGAUAUUUCUUCCCCCUCGGGGAAAGCUUAUGUGAGGAUUUUCUUUUUUUAACAGUUCAUUCUGUGAAACUAUUUUUUUUUUAUUGUUUGCUGUUAGAAAAUGUUGGAGCUGAACACAAGGCUUUCUUUGCAGACUGAUAUCAAGAGAACUAAGAAAGGCUGUAGACAUACUGUUAAUGUCACUCUUCAAGCUGUAUUUGAGGCAGGUUUCCAUAUGAACAGAAACAAAGACUCAGUAGCAAGAAGCUUCAUCAAAUAAGGAAAUCUCUUCAAAUACUCUGGUAGGUUAAGAUAAUUAUGCUUUGUUUCUAUUCUGUUUUCUGAAAACCUUUAUAAAUGCAUUUUAUUUCAGGAAAAGGUUUGCUUUAAAAAGGUAAUCCUUUUUUUUUUUUUUUUUUUUUUUUUUUUUUUUUUUUUUUAAAAAAAAAAAAAAAAGGAGAAAAAGUUGGGUUUGCAUCAACUUUGAGACACGACUUGUUAAAUCAAACCAAGCCAGAUACCACUGUGGUAAAAUGAGAAAAAAAAAAAGUUAUUCUGUAAGUUCACAUUGUGGGUAUUAUUCCAUAAGUUUGCAUGAAAUUUGCUUUGCUUCUGAUGGAAGCCUGAAGCUGUUGUUUUAAGAGAGAUGCUCUUUGGAACCUUUCAGGAAAUGCUGACCUGACUACAGGGUGUACUUCUAUGUAACAAAAGGAAAAAGAAAAAAAAUCUGGCUUUUGCUGGCAAGGAAAACUGGCUUUACUUUUGUCAUCAGUCAGCUCUGGGUUAAAGAAAGAGGAUGCCUCUUGGGUGAACUCUUAAAAUUUAACACAUUUCUAGCUGAAGAGCUGGUUUUCAAGAGCUAUUGACAGCUAUGGAAUAAUUGC